UGAGGAACAUGACCUUCGGCGGGGGAUAGCCGGCCCAACGGCCGGGUAAUACCGCGUACGACCACAUGGGGACAUCCCUGAGUGGUGAAAGCAGCAAUGCGCCGAUGGAGUGCCUCGCGGCCUAUCAGCUAGUUGGUGGGGUAACGGCUCACCAAGGCGACGACGGGUAGCUGGUCUGAGAGGAUGGCCAGCCACAUUGGGACUGAGACACGGCCCAGACUCCGUAGGGAGG
RNAcentral lists this ribosomal RNA (232 nucleotides) under uncultured bacterium. RNAcentral describes it as "partial 16S ribosomal RNA". It matches the Rfam family "Bacterial small subunit ribosomal RNA", at positions 118 to 348 of the family's 1533-position model. The record is from RNAcentral.